CAGCAUUCAGAGAAAGCUGCAGGUCCGUUUGGGGAAAUGGCAUCUCCACGUCAGGACUGGAGUCAGAAGGAGAGUCUCUGGGAAUUCCUCUGGAUAGAGGCAUGCCGGUGGCUUCAGGGGGCUUGGCGUCGGGAGCCCUGGGCGGAGUUCUGGAACUGCUUGCCCGAUGCUGGGGAUACGAUAUGUUAUUGCACGCAGAGGCCUGAGAAAGCUGCAAUGAAAGCUUGAGAUCUCAGAGCACAUUCGUGUUCCAUGGAUACGUCACUGAACGGUUUGCACAGACUGUCAGAGUCGCCAGGCCGAGAUGUUUGGUGGUGCUUCUUUCCUUGCAUGCGUACGAAGUUUCAAACCUGAGGUGACGGACGUGAUGGGUCCUCAGAACAUCUGUUACUCUUUUAUUUCCUGCUCUACUUCCGAUCGGUGAAGUGAAUCGGACCUGCUAGUGGAAGGAGCUAUCUGUGCGUUUUUAUUUCCUAGUUUAAUUAAACAAUGGGAAAAGAGUCUUCUGAAAUAGUAAAGGAAUCCUUUCUGGGUGUUCAUGUUUUUCUCUUCUGCGAGCCACAUUCCGAUAUUAGAAAUUAUUUGUUAAAGUAAAACAGCCUCAGAGCUGUCACAGGGUUUGGUGGCCUUUGUGAGA
Molecule: long non-coding RNA, 637 nt
Filed under: Ursus americanus (American black bear)
Lineage: Eukaryota; Metazoa; Chordata; Mammalia; Carnivora; Ursidae
Description: lncRNA (ENSUAMG00000021271.1)
Source: RNAcentral